Molecule: small RNA, 528 nt
Filed under: Pan troglodytes (chimpanzee)
Lineage: Eukaryota; Metazoa; Chordata; Mammalia; Primates; Hominidae
Description: processed transcript
Source: RNAcentral
ACGGAGUCGACAAUAACAAACCAAGCCGCGGCGGUGUCCGCGGCCCUGCCGAGCCCUCGGCGUUGCCUCAGGAUCCCCCAGUCGCCUGGGCCCCUCGGCUCUGACAGGCCGCGGCCUUCUGUCUCCCGGCCCCAGACCCAGAGCCGAGGGGCCUGCUCGCGUCCUUCUCCGCCCGGACCCCUCCCUGCCUCCUAGAGUUCGGGGCCGCGGCGGGCGGGCGCCCGGGACGCCGGCGGUUGUGUCGGCUUAGCGGUGCCGAAUGGGCGGUUGGUAACCGCCGCCGAGGACUAGGCGGCGGCGGAAGAUGGUGCCGGGGGUCGCUGGCUCUGCUGCUGCCGCCGGCGAAGGAGGAGGCGCUGCCGGUUUUCUGAGUUUAACCAGUAAUCCAUAUUAAUUGCCUGUUAAAUAUACACUAGCUUGAACUUAGAUGUUAAAUGUUAUUAUUACCAGCAUUUGUCCUUUUGUGAAAUCAGUAUCAGAAUACUUGCACUCUUUAACACAUUCUUUAUAAAAUGUAUAAAUUAUUCA